RNAcentral lists this ribosomal RNA (360 nucleotides) under Triticum aestivum (bread wheat). RNAcentral's name for it is "partial small subunit ribosomal RNA". Lineage: Eukaryota; Viridiplantae; Streptophyta; Magnoliopsida; Poales; Poaceae. The record is from RNAcentral.
AUGAUCGAGCACUUGUAUUCGAGCCCUCGAGGCCCCUGCAACCAGUUAGUUGCACAGCAUGGGCUGUGUGGUUGCAGAGAACAUCAGUGCUGGUUGCACAACAAAAAAAUACUAAACUUUUUAUAUGAUUAUUACACAGGUGAUCGUGAUGGUCCUACUGCCCCGUUGGAGGCUGCAUCCCCUGCACAAGCUUCUGAUGAUUUUGUGCCCAGGGAUCCUCCAAGGUCUACUACAAAGGGUAGGGCAAAGAGUCUACGCUACAAAUCGGCGCUGGAGCUACACCCAAAGAAGAAAAACAAAUGCAGCCAGUGCCAAUCUACAGAGCACACUGCUGGUGUGUGUCCACUCAGGCUACUGUGA